CUCGCGGCCGCAGGCGCUGGCCUCCCCAGCUGAACCCGCUUGAGGAUCCCCGGACCCUGCGGCGUUUGAGUCCGCGGACCCGGGUAGACGCAGCCGGCCCCGGUCCUUUCGCUCUGCCGCCAGCGCCGGCGGGGCCGAGCGGGCGGCAGCGUGGACCGGGGGCCAAGACCCUGCGGCAGACUGGCGGCCGCCGCGUCCGGAGGUGAGGGCCGCGGAGCCGGGUGUGGCGGCGGGGACAUCACCCCAGGGGCAGGCCUGUCACCUCAGAGCCGUUGUGACUUCGCGGUUGCUCGGAUUUUGCGUGCGCGCGGGGAGGUAGUGCCCUUUUCCGAGAAGGGAACGUCUCCAGGGUGCUGGAGGCGUGGGGGAGUCGCAGGGGGUAGGGCCAAGCUCAAGGCGGUUUCCCCUGCGCUGCACUUGCACGGGGGUCCACGCGGGUUGGUCAACCGGUAGGUGGUGUUCAAGUCCUGGGCUGAGAGGGAGGGAGGCUGGGCCAAACUGGUUGGUUGGUAAGAGGGUGGCUCCGCCAGUACCACUGUUUCUCCAAGCUCUGCUCCAACUAGGGAAACUUGUGAUUGGAAACAGCCAGAGUGGCUGAGUCCCGGGCAGGGAGCCACCCUGGCACGCAUCACCUCCCCAACCACUGGCCUCUACCUCCUGCCCAGCCCAGUCCAAAGGAGGAAUUCCUGACCACCCACCAAAGCGCCAGGAGCCCCUGUUCUCGUCCACUACAGGGCCUCCAGCUCUGCAGCCAAGAGGAAGCUGGGGCUUUUGGCAUAGGCAGAGCUGAGGGUAGGGCUGGGAAGAGGGACAGACCUGAGCCUACCACCUAGUGUCCUAUGCUGGAGAUUCACAGGUCUGAGGUCAGACCAUAGGCUGGACUUAGCCACUGGAAAGCUUCUGGAUCUGUGGAAGGGGCAUGCCCUACAAGUGCUCAUUGGUGGCACUUGGGAGCUGCAGGGUCUACCUGCUCACUCACCUGUCCUGUACUGCCCCUCAGGUGUUCCUAACACAACAGAGCUGGCUGAGCUUGCCACUGGUGCAGAACUGAGGACAUCAUCCCGAGGAGCUGAGGCUCCAGGUGCUCUCCUGAGGGUGGCUGCCAUGCCACUGCCUCAAACUCUGGGCCUCCUUAGGCUCUAAAGAAGAGAAUGAGGAGGAAGCCAAGGCCCAUCCCUGACCCUGCAGCAAGGCUGGCAUGUGCACAUACAUGAAGCGCUGUGCCCACUGGUGGUAGUGAGCACUGAGUGUCUGCUUGGGGCACGGUACCUGCCAUAUGAUCCGCAGAGCUGAGCAGUCGCACCCUGGAGAGAGUGACACAAAUCUGAGUCCAUGAUAUCUGUCCACAGUGACCUGUCUCUGUAAGCAUCCUGGGCUUCCAGUGGGGCUAGCCUAUACAGUGCUCAGAGUUGGUGCAAUGCCCACUCUCUAGGCUGGCACAGGUGCAGGUGUGAGGGAGGGUGGUUCCAACCAGGCACUAAGAGGGGCAGCUAGCCACAGGCCACAUCCAGCAUUCUAAGACCAGCUCCUCCUCAUCUGGGGUCAGUGGUAAGGAUAUGCCAAAAUGACCCCCUGUGGCCCUAUCACAUUCCCUAGGAUCAAGCCCUGGAGUGGGGGUGCCCAUCAGGCAGUCUGUUGCUGAUCAGUAUCCCUGAUGUGCCCACCCAGUUGUACUAGCACAUCUACCCCCAGGGACCUCCUGUUCCAAUGGGUUGAGCCGGUACCCCCACAUCUCCCUGAGUAGCAGCCCUGAAGGCUGGCCCCUAGGCAUGAUGAGGCUGUUUUGGGGGAGUAGAGGGCACAUAGUUAUUCUCAGGGCAGAACACAGGGGGCCUCUGAAAACCAGACAGGUCUGUAGCCAGCAGCCCAGGCCUGGGUGGUAUCUCCUGGGAACGGUCCCAGACUGGGGCAAGGAGUCUCAGGGAUUAUGGGUCCAUGGCCCAAUGAUGAGUAGUGUCUGGGGCUGCAUUUGGUAAGUGGCCCCCUCCCCAUCCUGCCCUGCUGAGCCUCCUCCAAAGGCAUUUGCCCAGUGUCAAAUUGGAGGUUUUGAUUGUGAGGCUCACGCACUUACACCCUGGAUGUGGCUUUCUGGGGCAUGGUGCUGCUGCUGUUCAAGGACCUGAUCCACCUAGUGGUGAGUGCCAGGGAGGGGAGGUGAAGGGAGAGUCUGGGCUGGGGACUGGAGUUCUGUCUGCUGGAGGAAGUGGCAGUGCCCUCAAGGCUGGGGCUUUGCCUGUGUCCGAGACCCCAGGCCACAGGAACGCAGGGAACUGUGGGUACACCAUACACCAAGGAAGAGGCUUUGAAGAGGAUCAUUGUUCCUUUGCUGUCUCUAGAACUGGUUCCUGCUCGGAUCCAAGGAUAGGGCCAGGGCCUUUCCAGGAACACUCUGCCUUGCAGGACUUUCCAUGCUGCACGAUGUCCUGGGUGACUUCACUCUGGCACUACCAGCCCUGUCUGCCCAGUGCUUUGUUUUUUGUUUUGGGUUUUUUUUUUUUUGUCUGUCUGUCUGUUUUUUUCCUCCUUCAGUGCUGGGAGCGGAACUCAGGGCCUUGUGCGUGCUAUGCAAGUAUAUAUUUUCACUUUUUUUUUAAGCUCAUUUUUUUAGUUCCAGAGAUUAAACCUAGUGGGACUUAACCACUGAGCCACAUCCCCAGCCCAUUUUUUUCUUACUUUGAGACAGGGUCUCACUUAGUUGCUGAGUCUGGCUUUGAACUUAAGAUCCUCCUGCCUCAGCCUCUUGAUUCUCUGGGAUUAGAGGCUUAUGCCACCAUGCCUGGCUCCUUUUUAUUUUUAAUUUUGAGACAGGGUCUCUCUGAGUUGACCAAGUUUGCUUCAAACUUGUGAUUCUCCUACCUCAGCCUUCUAAGUGGAUGGGAUUACAGGCCUGCGCUACAGUCCUGAGAAAAUCCCCACACACAGUGGUGCCCCCAAUUCCUCCUCUUUUUUUUUUUAAAGAUUUAUUUUUUAAUCGUAGUUGGACACGAUACCUUUAUUUUAUUUAUUUUUAUGGGGUGCUGAGGAUUGAACCCAGGGCUUUGCACAAGCUAGGCAAGUGCUCUACCGCUGAGCCACAACCCCAGCCCCCCAAUUCCCCUCUUUAAUGACCAGGUGACAACCAGGUAGAUUGUCUGGGAAGAGGUCUGCCUCGAGGCCAGAGGAAGCCCUUGGGGUGGCCCAGUGCCCACACAGCUCUUUUCCCUUGAGGGAUCAGGCUUAGGCUGUGGUGCGGCUGGGCUGGGCUGGGCUGGAGUGUGAAGAUGUAAACACCAGCACCUGUGAGUGGAUCAGACCAAGCAGUGAGUGACAGCCCCCAGCACAGGUUAUGGUACAAGCUGCCAGCACCUGCAGUGGUACCCACAGUACCACACAGGAUAGCUGAUUGUACUGUUUGCCCUGCUGGCAGGCCUGGCCAGAAGAUGAACAACAUGUGGGUGGUAGUGUUUGUGGCCCUUGAUGGGGUGAUAGACCAGGAGGCAGGCCCCAGUGCUCAGGACAUCAGGACAGGGAACAUGCCUCAUGCUUCAGGGUGCCAUGAGGCUGCAGGGUGGUGGAACUUACCUCCUGCCCCUGACCCACGCACCUAGGAUGGGGUCCAGGAAGAUUGGGGAAGCAAUGCCUGCAUCGCUGCAAGGUGUGCUCCUAUCAAGGAGCCUCAGAUAGAUCCUUGAUCCGGAAGGCACGGCCCUGCUCAGCUCAGCAGCCCUCCCUGCGUGGGCCAAGACACCAGGCAGGACAUGUCCAGGCAUUCAGAGACAGGUCACUGAGAUGCUAGAGAGGAAAAUAGUGGGCCCACAUACCUGUUAUGGACUCAUCACACAAGGUGGUGGGGCUCAGAUCACAUAGAACCUGGUAGGGUGUAGCUUGGGGCCUCUCUGACUGCGCCCAGCCAAUGGACACCUCUGUCCCUGAAGUUAAUGCUCCCCACCUUGGUUUUCUUGUUUCCUGGGUUUCUUUCUGUGAUUGACCAUACGUGUGUAUGCUUAUACACUCAGUGUUUUUCCACACCUGGUAUUUGUUUAGACCUUAAGUCAUUCUGUAAUAAAACUAAUUUAAAACCAGC
Molecule: transfer RNA, 4063 nt
Filed under: Marmota monax (woodchuck)
Lineage: Eukaryota; Metazoa; Chordata; Mammalia; Rodentia; Sciuridae
Source: RNAcentral